This 1432-nucleotide ribosomal RNA is filed under the name Chalcorana macrops (Masarang frog). RNAcentral describes it as "Hylarana macrops (Masarang frog) partial 16S ribosomal RNA". It matches the Rfam family "Bacterial large subunit ribosomal RNA", at positions 15 to 2565 of the family's 2925-position model. The record is from RNAcentral. Lineage: Eukaryota; Metazoa; Chordata; Amphibia; Anura; Ranidae.
UUAAAGCUCCUCGCUUACACCGAAGUAAUAUCUGUUCGAAUCAGAUCAUUUUGAGCCCAAAAUCUAGCCUUCAUAAUAUAUGUAUAUUAUAAUCCCACCUUCCGCCCAAUAACAAAACAUUUUAACAUUUUAGUAUAGGAGAUUGAAAAAUUAAUAAGCGCUUCAGAUAAAGUACCGCAAGGGAAAGAUGAAAUAGUAAUGAAAUAAAUUAAAAGCACAAAAAAGCAGAGACUCCCCCUCGUACCUUUUGCAUCAUAGUCUAGCCAGUCUAACCAAGCAAAAAGUACUUUAAGUUUGACACCCCGAAACUAAGCGAGCUACUUCAAAACAGCCCCAAAGAGCCAACCCGUCUCUGUUGCAAAAGAGUGGGAAGAUUUUUAAGUAGAGGUGAUAUGCCUACCGAGCCUAGAGAUAGCUGGUUGCUCAAGAAAAGAGUCUCAGCUCUACCUUAAGUUUUUUUGUUAUAAACAUAAACCCCUUAAACUUAAGAGCUAUUUAAAUAAGGCACAGCUUAUUUAAAACAGGAUACAACCUCCAACACUGGGUAAACCAGGGUAAAUUAAACCAAGUAGGCCUAAAAGCAGCCACCUUUCAAAAAGCGUUACAGCCUAAUUCACCUCUUAACCCACAAUACUUUAAACCCCUCUUAACCCUUAACCCCUAUUGAGCCAUUUUAUAUUUUUAUAAAAAACAUAAUGCUAGAACUAGUAACAAGAAAUAUAACUUUCUCCUAAAUGUGAGUAUAAACCAAAAUGGACAUACCACUGGAAUUUAACGUGUAUUCAAAUAUUAUAACAACUUUUCUAGAAAAACUUAUAAACCCCAACGUUAACCUUACACCAGAACAUUACAGGAAAGAUUAAAAGAGAGAGAAGGAACUCGGCAAAUCUUAACCCCGCCUGUUUACCAAAAACAUCGCCUCUUGACACUUAUAAGAGGUCCAGCCUGCCCAGUGACAAAGUUUAACGGCCGCGGUAUCCUAACCGUGCAAAGGUAGCAUAAUCACUUGUUCUUUAAAUGGGGACUCGUAUCAACGACACCACGAGGGUUAUACUGUCUCCUCCCUCCAAUCAGUGAAACUGAUCCCCCCGUGAAGAAGCGGGGAUUGACUUAUAAGACGAGAAGACCCCAUGGAGCUUUAAGCUACACAUACACUUUACCUGCAUAUCAACUAAAAUUAAAAUUCUGUAUGCUCACUUUAGGUUGGGGAGACCGCGGAGUACAAAUUAACCUCCACAACAAAUAGGCCACGCCCUUAUCUAAGAACUACAAUUCUAAGAAUUAAUAUAUUAAUGUUUAAUGACCCGAAAAUUCGAUCAAUGAACCAAGUUACCCUGGGGAUAACAGCGCAAUCUACUUCAAGAGCCCCUAUCGACAAGUAGGUUUACGACCUCGAUGUUGGAUCAGGGUAUCCUAGUGGUGCAGCCGCUAC